This is a long non-coding RNA of Cydia splendana, 557 nucleotides long. RefSeq lists it as uncharacterized. NCBI's taxonomy places the organism in Eukaryota, Metazoa, Arthropoda, Insecta, Lepidoptera, Tortricidae. The transcript is spliced from 3 exons. The record is from RefSeq and is a predicted model, not a curated record.
UAUCCGACAGAUGGCACUUUAUCAUGAGAGAGUUCGAGAUAGAACACGCUGUUAAGAUUUUCUAACAAAACACGACACGAUUUUGCCGAUAUAUAGGUUAGGUAAGGUUUGGAGUUAGGUUAGGUUUUGAGUUAGGUUAGGUUUUGAGUUAGGUUAGGUUUUGAGUUAGGUUAGGUUUUGAGUUAGGUUAGGUUUUGAGUUAGGUUAGGUUUUGAGUUAGGUUAGGUUUUGAGUUAGGUUAGGUUUUGAGUUAGGUUAGGUUUUGAGUUAGGUUAGGUUUUGAGUUAGGUUAGGUUUUGAGUUAGGUUAGGUUUUGAGUUAGGUUAGGUUAGGUUAGGUUAGGUUUUUUUUUUUUUUUUUUUUUUUUUUUUUUCCUUCUACCUCCAACAUGAUCGGAGCCUACUGUGAGCGGUUUUCUCUUGCAUACCAGUUCUCGCAUUUUUGCUUCUCGCACUUUCAUUCUACAUACUAUUCUUUCUUACAUUCAUCAUCUUUCACUCUUUGUGGUUGGGACUACCACCUAUUUGUUUUCUAUGUUCUACUUUGCUACUUUUAUU